Molecule: ribosomal RNA, 502 nt
Filed under: uncultured bacterium
Lineage: Bacteria
Description: bacterial SSU rRNA
Rfam family: Bacterial small subunit ribosomal RNA
Source: RNAcentral
UCAGGAUGAACGCUAGCUACAGGCUAACACAUGCAAGUCGAGGGGCAGCAUUGGAGUAGCAAUACUUCAGAUGGCGACCGGCGCACGGGUGAGUAACACGUAUCCAACCUGCCGCUUACUCGGGGAUAGCCUUUCGAAAGAAAGAUUAAUACCCGAUGGUAUAAAGAGUUCGCAUGUUCUCUUUAUUAAAGAAUUUCGGUAAGCGAUGGGGAUGCGUUCCAUUAGAUUGUUGGCGGGGUAACGGCCCACCAAGUCUACGAUGGAUAGGGGUUCUGAGAGGAAGGUCCCCCCACAUUGGAACUGAGACACGGUCCAAACUCCUACGGGAGGCAGCAGUGAGGAAUAUUGGUCAAUGGACGAGAGUCUGAACCAGCCAAGUAGCGUGAAGGAUGACUGCCCUAUGGGUUGUAAACUUCUUUUAUAAGGGAAUAAAGUGAGGGACGUGUCCCUUUUUGUAUGUACCUUAUGAAUAAGGAUCGGCUAACUCCGUGCCAGCAGCUGC